CAGUCGCCGCGGUAAUACGUAGGUGGCGAGCGUUGUCCGGAAUCAUUGGGCGUAAAGGGAGCGCAGGCGGGCAUGUAAGUCUUUCUUAAAAGUUCGGGGCUCAACCCCGUGAUGGGAAAGAAACUACAUGUCUUGAGUACAGGAGAGGAAAGCGGAAUUCCCAGUGUAGCGGUGAAGUGCGUAGAUAUUGGGAGGAACACCAGUGGCGAAGGCGGCUUUCUGGACUGCAACUGACGCUGAGGCUCGAAAGCCAGGGGAGCGAACGGGAUUAGAUACCCCCGUAGUCCCUGUCUCUUAUACA
RNAcentral lists this ribosomal RNA (301 nucleotides) under uncultured bacterium. RNAcentral's name for it is "partial 16S ribosomal RNA". It matches the Rfam family "Bacterial small subunit ribosomal RNA", at positions 509 to 809 of the family's 1533-position model. The record is from RNAcentral.